RNAcentral lists this ribosomal RNA (428 nucleotides) under uncultured bacterium. RNAcentral's name for it is "partial 16S ribosomal RNA". It matches the Rfam family "Bacterial small subunit ribosomal RNA", at positions 354 to 796 of the family's 1533-position model. The record is from RNAcentral.
GUGGGGAAUAUUGGGCAAUGGGCGAAAGCCCGACCCAGCAACGCCGCGUGAGGGAAGAAGGCCUUCGGGUUGUAAACCUCUGUCCUUGGUGACGAAAAAAAUGACGGUAGCCAAGGAGGAAGCCCCGGCUAACUACGUGCCAGCAGCCGCGGUAAUACGUAGGGGGCGAGCGUUGUCCGGAAUUACUGGGCGUAAAGGGUGCGUAGGUGGCCUUUUAAGUUGGAUGUGAAAUACCCGGGCUUAACUUGGGGGGUGCAUCUAAUACUGGAGGGCUAGAGUGCAGGAGAGGGAAGCGGAAUUCCUAGUGUAGCGGUGAAAUGCGUAGAUAUUAGGAGGAACACCAGUGGCGAAGGCGGCUUUCUGGACUGUAACUGACACUGAGGCACGAAAGCGUGGGGAGCAAACAGGAUUAGAUACCCCGGUAGUCC